GAAUGCUUUAUGAGAAUGUCUGCAAAUCUGGCACAAACGUCCGCUUGGACUGAUCAGAUUUUAGUUGUCAAAGGUCACUGUGACCUCACAGAACACGUUUUUGGCCGUUUCUCAACAAUGAGAAUGAGUAUCUUGACUGGUGCAGGGAGGAAAUGAAACCACAAGGCGCCUCCUCUUGUCCUCCAGCAGGAGCUCAAAGCCGACCACGUCAUCGCUCACGUGCCGUCUGUGAAUAAGAUGUUGAAUCAUGAGCGGCAUCCUGUGAGCGGCUCGGGGACAAUAAAGAAAGUCACACGAAGAAGGAAUAUAAGAAAACGCACACUAUGAGAAGGAGAUUACUGUAGUGCAAUGAAAGAACACAGGACAGGAAAUGACUGUACAACUUAAUAAACCAAUUAAUAGGUCAAU
Long non-coding RNA from Acanthopagrus latus (yellowfin seabream), 408 nucleotides. RefSeq lists it as uncharacterized. The transcript is spliced from 2 exons. The record is from RefSeq and is a predicted model, not a curated record. NCBI's taxonomy places the organism in Eukaryota, Metazoa, Chordata, Actinopteri, Spariformes, Sparidae.